Molecule: ribosomal RNA, 253 nt
Filed under: uncultured bacterium
Lineage: Bacteria
Description: partial 16S ribosomal RNA
Rfam family: Bacterial small subunit ribosomal RNA
Source: RNAcentral
UACGAAGGGGGCUAGCGUUGCUCGGAAUGACUGGGCGUAAAGAGCGUGUAGGCGGCCAGACAGGUCCGUUGUGAAAACUGGAGGCUUAACCUCCAGCGGUCGAUGGAAACCAUUUGGCUAGAGUCCGGAAGAGGAGAGUGGAAUUCCUGGUGUAGCGGUGAAAUGCGUAGAUAUCUGGAGGAACACCGAUGGCGAAGGCAGCCCCCUGGGCUAACACUGACGCUCAUGCACGAAAGCGUGGGGAGCAAACAGG